RNAcentral lists this long non-coding RNA (465 nucleotides) under Lathyrus oleraceus (garden pea). RNAcentral describes it as "Pisum sativum (pea) long non-coding RNA (PSAT_LNC000093)". Lineage: Eukaryota; Viridiplantae; Streptophyta; Magnoliopsida; Fabales; Fabaceae. The record is from RNAcentral.
AGCGUGGGAGAGAGUGAAGGAGUAAAUGAGGUAUUUUGCGUGCAUGCCCAAAUUGGAAGAAGAAACAAUGGUUGAAGCUAUUAGGGUUCUAAAGCAAGAAUCGUCUCAUUCUUCUCACCUUCAUCUUUCAAAUUAAGUAUUCAUCCACUUCAAGCUUCAAGUCAGAAUCUACUAGUUAGAGGUGGGUUGCAUUAGAUAGUUCUUGGGUAGAAUUGAGAAUUAUUCAUGCUAGAUAUUGGGGUUUUUGGUCUUAUAAUCAAUGUUUAUGAUUCUAUGUGUGGUUGUGUCUCUACGCAUGUUUAUGUUGUUUGAUUAUCAUGAAUAUGGUGUUGUGCUAGUUUUUUUUUUCUGUUAAAGGAAUGUUAUGCAUAAUUUAUAUGUCAAGAAUUAACCCCAUGUUUGAUUAAUUCAAGAACUUGUUGAAUGUGUAGUGUAUGUGAAAGUAUGAGAUUUUAUUAUGUGGAU